Molecule: long non-coding RNA, 15026 nt
Filed under: Gossypium barbadense (sea-island cotton)
Lineage: Eukaryota; Viridiplantae; Streptophyta; Magnoliopsida; Malvales; Malvaceae
Description: long non-coding RNA (GBAR_LNC020284)
Source: RNAcentral
UUUUUACAAACCCAAUACCCAAAUAGCCUAAUAGACCCAACAUUUAACCCUAGCCCAAUAACUAAAUAGCCCAAUGCUUAAAUAAAAAACAGAAAACCCUACUAGCAGCAAGUAGCGCCGCAAGCCCCCGCCUUCAGCGCCUCCAGCAGCAUCCGGACGCCGCAAGUUUCGGCCUCCACGCAUGCCAAACUCUCCACGCACCUGCAAACACGAACUCAGAGAUUCCAUUAGCGAAAAUAUAGUGUAAAACAAAUAAGUUUUAGGUUAUAUAAAGCCGUUUGAUUUUGUAAAAAGAGAGACAAAGAAAUCAAAAGGAGAACUGAGAAUACAAGUUUUUUUAGGUGAAUCGCACCACUUUUUUUUUCUUUUGCAUUUUACGUUUUUUAUUGUUUUUGUAUAACUAAAAGUAGAAAAAAGAGAAAAGGGGGUUACCCUCGUUUUGAAUCUGCUCAAGGGCAAUUAAAAGCCCGUCGUGUCGCCUUUCCGAUCACCAUUCUCGGUGAAAUCGCGGCGGAGGCGCAUGGUGGCGGCGGCGCGAGGACGCUAAGGGUGAAACCCUAGCAGAGCAAAAAAAAGGGGGGGGAAUUUAUUUAUUUUCUUUUUUUUUUCAUUCUGUUAAAAUGGUUUUAGAAAGAAAAAUCUGUUUUAAAUAACAGAUCGAAACGGCGCCGUUUUGAAUGGCCAGACCCGUGCGGUGACCCGAGCCGGAGGGGAGGAUCCGCGCGUUCUGACGUCAGAGGGGGAAUUUGCGCGAUCAGUCCUCCCUCUUUUGCGCCAUGUUUUAUUAAACCAAUUUUUGUUUUUUUUAAGUUUAGCCCAAAUGUUUCUGUUUCUGUUCACUUUAGUCUAUGCCAAUGCACAACGUUUUGGGAAGUUGGGUUAUUGCCAAUCUGGUCCCCCAUGUCAUUCGCGUGUGGCACUUUCAUCCCUAAUUUUAUUUUUAAUCCAUUUGCUACCCGCUAACUCAAUUUUAAUCACAAUGUGACCUUUCUUUUUUACUCAAUUUAUUACCCUUUUGUAUUAUUAUUUUAUUAUUACUAUUUUUUUGUUUUAUUCCCGUUAUUAAUGUGUACAUUAAGUUUCAUUUGUCUUCUUACAUAUGUAUAUUACUUUAUAAUAUAUAUAUCUAUACAUAUAUUGGUUUUUUUAAACAUGCGCAUUUUAUAUAUAAUUUUCUUUUUUUUCCUUUCAUAUUUUUUACAAAACAUAUAUUUUGUGAAUUUCAUUUUCAAAAUGUUUUUUUCGUAAAAUACAUGCAUGCGCAUUUGUUUUAUAAAAUAUAUACAUGAAUAUAUUUAUACAUAUGUUUUUCCUUAUAUCCUUAUUUUAUUUACUUUUUUUUAUAUACUUUAUAUUAUAUAUGCACUUAUACGUUUUAUUCUGUAAAUACAUAUAUGUAUUUUUUAUAUACUUUUAUUUUAUUUUUAAUACAUGUUUUUGUUUGUUUUAUUGGGUAUAUUUCAUUCCUUCCAUUUGCAUGAAUACUCGUAUAUGUGAUAGAUAUAUGUGUACAUAUGUUUGCAACUUUAUUGUUAUAUUGUAUUUGUAUAUAUAUAUUUGCAAAUAUCUAUCCGUGUAUGUUGAAAAUUAAAGGAUCUGUAUCAUAUUGUAUAUUAGCUCUUUAUCAUACCCUUUUGAAAAUAUAUUUUGGUUUUAACCCUUCAUCAAAGUUAUUUUCUUGAUUUAAAGGUUUUUUUUGAUUAAAAGCAUUUUUGGAAGUUUGGGAUUUUCGAGGGAAAUUGAGCCCUAACGUAUUGGGUUCUGAUUUUCUUUGUCAAUCCUAAAUGACCGAGAAUAUUUUUAUUCAAAAUGCAUAAAAAUCAUUUUUGGGAACUUAACUUGUGGUGCCCUAACGUAUUGGGUGUGGCAUGUUACUUUCUCGAAAUGAAGAUUUUCGUAUAAAAUAAAAGUGAUACUCAAUUUUGGGGAAUUAUGAGGAAUUGUACCCUAACGUAUUGGGACUCGAUUUCUCUACAUGACUUGAACAAUUGGUUAUCCUUUUGCAAAUUUCAUCAUUCAAGCUUAUUUUAAAAUCUUUUUAACUUUCGACACAAAAACAUCAAAUAAUCAAUUUGGUACCGAUUUUGGGCGUUACGAGGGUGCUAACCCUUCCUCGUGCGUAAUAGACUUCCGAACUCGUUUUCUCAAAAUUCAUAGACCAACAUAAUUUUUAAGGUGAGCCGAUCACACCUUAAUAAAGGAUCGGUGGCGACUCCAGUUUUAUUUUAAAAAAAAGUCAACUAAAUUUUUUGUUUUAAAAAAAAACAGUUUCGACAGCUUGGCGACUCCGCUGGGGACUUUGAGAGUCGAGCCAUAAACUGAUUAUGUUUGUCUUUGUGUCGAAAAUCAAGAGUUUUAAAAAUUCACGAGUUCGCUUCGCAUUCAUCGUUUUUUUCAUUUUGAUGUUGGCAACUUUGCAUUUGCAUUUUGCAUUUUACCCUUUAAGUGGGAGCAAGAAACUAGUCCUUCGUGAGGUUUUCAUCUCUGUGCAGGGUAGUGGACUGCUUCCGAGAUACAUUCGUACCUAUGUCUUCGUGAGAUUUUCAUCUCCGUGCAACCAUAGGGAAAUGUGUCCCCCUGAACCGAACUCGAUCCACAUGAGCCUAUAAUGGGUGAGGAUCGAGGAAUCUGCUGGUUCGGGUACCCUUACUCUAGAAACCAAGCCUCAUAUAGUGAGCUUUAGGAACUUGACCUAGGUAGAACUAUCCCAAAACCCUAGUGGAUUCCUAAUUAAGUGUUUCUUGCUAUUUCAUGUUUGUAUUUGAUUAUAUUUCUAUAUGUGAUACUGACUUGGGUUUCUUUUGUUUUGAUUGCAUGGCAUCAUUAUUGCAUAGCAUUUCAUCCUAAAAGGGCGUUAGUUCAUAUUCGGUUGCUAAAUAGAAAGCUUAUCAUGGAAAAAGGGUUUCUUGAUAAGGUGGAAGAUAAUACGGCUGUCCAAACUUGGUCUGAGACAAUGCAGCAAGAGAAAGGCGAUAGUUUGGCCGAGGGAUAUGUGUCAGAGUUAUGAGACUUCACUCGUGUUAGCGUGACUCAGAAUAACUUACAGGAAUUAAAGAAAAUUUGGGACCGGUGGAAUGAUGAGAUUAAGCAGUUUUUCUACUCUAGCUAUGGAGACCUACCUUACUUGCUCGACGUAAAGGUGGAUAAGCACCUGUUCCGUGCCUUAGCCCAAUUUUGGAACCCUGCUUAUAGCUAUUUCACCUUUGGAAGUGUUGAUUUAGUGCCUACAGUGGAGGAAUACACGGCAUCGCUUCGUUGUUCAAAAAUUCAAGUGGAUAAAGCCUAUUCAAGAGCUGCUAAUGUUCCAACAUUUUUGAAGAAACUGAUGAAUAUUACAGGGAUGAGUGAGCAAUGGGUCGCAGCACGAAUCAAACAAAAGGGAAAUAGUAAGUGCAUCCUUAGAGGAACCUGAAAGAUUUAAUUCUAGCACACCCGGAUACGAGGAAGAGGGUUGAUGUCUUUGCCUUGGGUAUUUACGGUUUAGUUGUCUUUCCUAAAGCUUUGGGGACAUUUUGAUGAAGCAGUCACUGAUAUUUUUGACCGUCUUGACAAGGGGGUUACACCGGUCCCAGCAAUUCUGGCAGAAACCUUCAGAUCUCUGAAUGAAUGUCGAAGAGUAGGUGAGGGUAGAUUCAUUGGAUGCACGCAGCUCCUUUUAGCAUGGUUUCAUAGUCACUUUUGGAAGGUGGAUAAGGUUUCAUAUCGGGUUUUUUUUGAAAAUUAUUCGCCCUUGAAGGAAAUAGUGGUAUUACCGAGACAAGAUGAUAUCUCGGAGGAAAAAUGGAUGGCAACUCUUCAGAAUCUUCAAGAGGGGGAUAUUGAAUGGAGAGCUCUUUGGAUGCAGUCAGAUGAGAUCUUAUAUAGGUGUGGAGAUUUUGACUGGGUCCCUUUACUUGGGAUUUGGGGGGCUAUUGGCUAUGCACCAUUAUUGGUAUUGGGACAGUAUAGGUUAAGGCAGUUCGUACCAACAACCCAUGGAUUAGCUCAGUGUGAAUUCUCGUAUAAGUGUGAUGGUUACAAGAAGAAGAUACGAGAAAUGACUAAUGCUUGGAGGCAGACUCACCGAUUGAAGAGGUUGGUAGUAGGUCCAUCAACGAUGCCUGAAUAUAUCGAGUGGCUUAAUAGAAGGAUUAAUGAUAAAAUACCUGUACCAGGUCAAGGAGACAGACAAUUUGUGGAAAAGUGUGUACAUAUGGUCCUUUCUAAGUUAGAAAUUAUAAAGCAAGACUUUGAAAGAAGAAAUUCUGAGCUUGAGAAGAAGAUAGAGCAAAUGGAAGAGGAGAAGAUGAAUUUAAGGCUGGACAUAGAUGUUCAGAAACUGGAAAUCGAAGGCCUGAGAAAAGGGAAGCGCAAAGUCGAGGAAGACCUGAACAGCUUGAAGACGGAUUAUAAGAGAUUACGUUUGUCAAUGAGAACUGCUGGGUUGGGAAAAACCUCAGAGCAGUGGCGUCAAGAGGUUCAAGAAGAAAAGGCCAAGGCUGAUAGGUGGGAAAAGAGAUUUCAGGAGGCUCAAAAGCAAAAUAAGUCAUUUGAGAGGAGUUUGUCAGAAAGCCAGAAUGAAAGAGAUAAACUAAGGGCUAGAGUGGCCGAACUCGAGAAGAUUGUUUAUCAAUACCGAAAUCGAAAUUCAGUGGCGGAACUGCAAGCAAGUUUAAGUAGGAUCGAGCAAAUGAAGAAAACUAUAGAGGAAUUAAAGAUAGCAUCGCAGAACUAUGAAGCCAGGAUUGAGCAUUUGGAAGCAAACGAAGAUCAUCAAAGUGAACAGCUUCACUAUCUCCAGGGUCAAGUUGCAAGAAGGGAUCACAUUAUAGGAGAAGUUGUGGUUCAGAUUCAAGGGGUAGCUGAGCACCUGCAGACUUUGGCAAUACAGGCUGAUAUACUAAGUGUGAAGUACGAAUUGGAAUCAAAUCAGGGGCAGAAGUUGGCAUCAUUACUUAGGGAGAUUAAAGUUCUAAGUAUUAGGGCAAGGCCUUAUUUAUAGCCAUUUUAUGUAAAGAAAAUUUUUCUCUAGUAAAGUUUUCUGAGUGGAAUUGAAUUAUAAUUAACGUCUUUUUUGCAUUCACCUCAUGCAUCGUAUCAUAUGCAUUAGCAUCGCAUCAUAUGCAUUAAAGACCUUUAUUAAAUCCUAAUAAGUUAAAAUCAUUGCUCAGUUAACCUGGAAACCAACCAACCAACCCGACACCGAUACGGAACUCGAGCAAAGACAAAAGAUAUGGAUCAGAGAUUAGAAAAGCUCGAACAGUACUAGAAAGAGAUGCAAGACCGGCUUCAGCUACAAAUGCAGGAGCGGUUAGACAAGAUGAAACAAGUGAUGUCUGAGAAGAUGCGAGAAUCCCAAGAAGAUAUAGUGGCAAAGUUAACCCAACUGAUAACUAAGGGAGGUGAUAAAGGAAAGGGCCCCAUGGCAAAUGUCGAUGAGGGAACUGAUGAUGAAUUUUUUUACCCUCCAGGUUUCACUCCUCCACAUAUGCGAGCCCAAGCUGAGUACCCGUGCAAAUCUACUGUCACUAUCAUGCCUCAGUAGCUUCGGGCUGAUAUUUCGAACCUUCAAACUAGGCCAGGUUCUAAUCCCGAAAAUAAUCCUAUUAACUCUACCAUUCCUGACUUUGAUGAAGUGCUUGAGAAGGAAAGAGUGAAGGAGGAGUUACCGAGACAGUUAGAGGAAAGAUGCAAGUGGCUCAAGGAGAAGUUCAAGGCGAUGGAGGUCACUGAGAGUUGUCGAGGCAUUGACGCAAAAGAGCUGAGUUUAGUGCCAGAUUUAGUACUCUCUCAUAAGUUUAAGAUGCCUGAAUUCGAAAAGUACAAUGGGACAAGCUGCCAGAAGCUCACAUCACUAUGUUCUAUAGACGAAUGGCGGGAUAUGUUAACAACGACCAACUCCUGAUACACUGUUUCCAAGACAGCCUUGUAGGGGCAGCAUCCAAAUGGUACAAUCAGUUGAGUCGUACCACGGUUGGUUCAUGGAGGGACCUGGCACAAUUGUUCAUGAAACAAUAUAGUCAUGUGACAGACAUGGCUCCUGAUAGAAUCACCCUUCAAAACAUGGAGAAGAAGCCGAGUGAAAGCUUCAGGCAGUAUGCACAGAGAUGGACGGAGGUUGCGGUCCAGGUUCAGCCGCCGCUCUUGGAAAAGGAAAUGACCAUAUUGUUCAUUAACACCCUGAAGGCACCGUUCAUUACACAUAUGUUAGGAAGUGCCACAAAAAGCUUUCUUGACAUAGUUAUGAAUGGUGAGAUGAUUGAGAACGCCAUCAAGAGUGGGAAGAUUGAUGCGGGAGAGAGUAACAGAAGACCGGCCUCAAAGAGAAAGGAAAACAAGGUGAACAACGCGGGCAUGUACAACAAGGGUUACUCGAAGUCAGUAACAGUGAGUCAGCCAGGAAAGGUGGCUGCCAAUCAGCAAAGCUCGUCGAGACAGGAGGUCGAUACAAGGCAAAAUACUGAGAGGCCCCAAUUCACACCAAUUCCUAUGUUGUACAGGGAACUAUACUAAAAUUUAUUCGACGCACACGUAGUUUCCCCUUUCUAUCUGAAGCCCUUGCAACCCCCGUAUCCCAAAUGGUACGAUGCGAAUGCAGAGUGCGACUAUCAUGUGGGAAUAACAGGGCAUUCUAUAGAAAACUGUACGGCCUUUAAGAAGUUGGUUGAAAAGCUCAUUGGUAAGGGUGUCGUUAAGUUUGAUGACUCGACCAAGGUAGAAAACCCAUUACCGAAUCACAUUGAUGGUGGGGUAAAUAUGGUGGGUGAAGACAGAAGAAUCAAGGCAGACAUUGCGAAUGUAAGAACUCCUUUGAGAUUGGUCUGGAAGGAGAUGGUGAAAAGGGGACUAAUCGUCUCAGAAAAAAGUUGUGAAAAGAGGGUGAAGUACUGUGAGUUCCACCAUGAAGUGGGGCAUGAAAUCCAAGAGUGUACGGGGUUCAGAGCCCUGAUACAAGGUAUGAUGGAUAAUAGGGAGGUGGAAUUCUGUGAAGGAGUUCAAGAGGAGAGUUAUGUAUGCGCAUCAGAGUUGGCAUUGGGAGUCCCGAAAGCUAACCGUCUUGUGGUCAUCAUCUCGCGACCUCAGAACAGUGAGAUUGGGGCACGAAUAACACCAAAAGUAAUCAUUCAAAAACCAACUGUGUUUGCAUAUAAGGAUAACAUGAGGGUUCCUUAGAAUUACGAUUGUAAUGUGACAAUCCCGGGGAAGGAGGAUGUAAUCAAUAAAGAGGAACAGGAUGAUGGAAGGCACCACGAACAGAUGAAAGCACGAGUAGAGCCAAUAAGAGAAGAAACUUCAGUUGAAAAGAAGAAGAAUGUGGUUGAACCCGAAUUGUUGGUCAAUGAACCAAUCAAAGAGGAGGAAGCUAGAGAGUUCUUGAAGUUCAUAAAGCAUAGCGAGUAUUGCAUUGUGGAACAGUUGCAAAAAACAACCAGCUCACAUAUCUGUGCUAGCUUUACUCCUGAACUCGGAGGGACAUCGGAAUGCACUACUGAAGGUGCUAAAUGAAACUUAUGUGGCCGACGAUAUCUCUAUUAACAAGUUGGAUCGACUGGUCGACAAUAUAAGCGCUGAUAACUUCAUUUCUUUCAGUGACGAUGAAAUACCACCUAGGGGUAUGGGAUCUACUAGAGCUUUACACAUCACUGCAAGGUGUAAAGGGUGCAUAUUACCAGGGGUUCUAGUAGACAAUGGAUCAGCAUUAAAUGUAUUGCCCCUAUCCACGCUCAACAGGCUACUUAUGGAUAGUUCGCAUAUGAAAUCGUGUCAGAACGUGGUUCGAGCAUUUUAUGGUACUGAGAGGAGGGUCAUGGGAAGAAUUUACAUUCCCUUGUUAGUUGGCCCAACUAUUUAUGAGGUGGACUUCUUAGUUAUGGACAUCAAGCCUUCUUACAGUUUCCUAUUAGAAAUGCCAUAGAUUCAUUCAGCAGGUGCGGUACCGUCAUCGUUACAUCAAAAACUGAGGCUGGUGUCAGAAGGCAGGGUUGUGACGAUAGAUGCUGAAGAAGAUAUCAUUGCAUCUGUGACCAACGAUGCGCCUUAUCUAGAAACGAGCGAUGAUGCAAUCGAAUACUCGUUCCGUUCCUUGGAGUUCGUAAAUGAAACAUUCAUCCAUGGGGGAAACAAGAUUUCGAUGCCGAAAAUAUCAAGGACCACAGAGAUGGGUCUGCAGUUGACUGUUGGAAAAGGAGCUUUGCCGAGAAGAGGAUUGGGGAAGUAUCUUCAGGGCCGAGUUGAAACUCCAGUGUUGAAAGAUAAGCAGGACCGUUUCGGCUUAGGAUAUAAGCCAGAUGCUAGGCAGAAGAGGAUAGAGCAGGAAAAGAAACAAGAGAGAAGAAAGGCUCGUUUGACAGGUGAUGAAGUCAAAUGGGAACCCAUGACCUUUCCACACCUAUCUAAGACUUUUGUAUCGGGAGGUUUCGUCUAUUAAGGAAUGCUAGGAGUCAUAAGUAUUAACACGGAGUUAGAGAGUAUUCAUGCCGUGUACGAAGAAGUGACAGGAGGAAGAACUUUGCCGGAUAUUCGUCCUUACGAGCUGGGAAGGGCGCUAAACAACUGGACUGCAGAAGAAAUACCUGUAGUUUUUAGGAUUUCCUCAGAGUAAUGUCCAGAACACCCUUAUUGCUUUUUAGCCUAGAAGUGAUAAGGAUUCCUUUGUGAAAUAGGCUCAUGUCCAGAAAAUCGUUAUUUUAAUAAAGUUCAUGUUUGCAGUCAUUUUUGGAGCAAAUCUUUCUUUCCAUAAGAGCAGUUAUUUUAAGUUUCUCUUGAACUACACUUGCAUUUCAUUCAUGACCAUAUUGCACCAAACAAAUUCCUGAAUCCAUAUUGUUUUUCAUAACAGGUCCUACGAUAUCAAUGAUACGAAUGUCACUCUUACAAAUUUAGAGUGUCCUUUUAAACGAAACAUGUGUUUAGAGGGAUCGCAUGUUUUUGAGGAUGACGAAGACUGUGGUUUGUCUCCUGACUUGUUGAAAAUGGUAGAAAGGACUGAGAAGCAAAUCCUACCUUACAGGGAAUCAAUAGAAAUUGUGAGCUUAGAGAAAGGAAAAGAGGUGAAGAUCGGAUCAGAUAUCUCUACAAAGACAAGCCAAGACCUCAUCGAAUUACUCCGAGAGUUUAAGGACGUGUUUGCAUGGUCAUACCAGGAUAUGCCGGGGUUGAGUACCGGCAUUGUAGUCCAUCGUCUCCCUAUAAGAGAAGAUUGCAAGCCAGUGCAGCAAAAGCUCAGAAGGAUGAGGCCUGAUAUUGUGUUGAAGAUAAAGGAGAAGGUCCAAAAGCAGUGUGAUGCCGGAUUUCUGCAAGAAGUCAAGUAUUCUGAGUGGGUGGCUAACAUUGUACCAGUUCCAAAGAAAGAUGAAAAAGUAUGAAUGUGUGUGGAUUAUCGGGAUUUGAACAAGGCUAGUCCAAAGGAUAAUUUCCCAUUGCCCCACAUCGACACAUUGGUAGAUAAUACUGCAGACUUUUCACUGUUUUCCUUCAUGGAUGGUUUUUCUGGGUAUAAUCAGAUAAAGAUGCAUCCUGAAGACAUGAGAAAGACUACGUUCAUUACGUUAUGGGGGAUGUUUUGUUAUAAAGUGAUGCUGUUUAGAUUAAAGAAUGUAGGAGCGACAUACCAAAGAGCUAUGGUAGCCUUGUUCCAUGACAUGAUGCACAGGAAAAUCGAGGUUUACGUUGAUGAUAUGAUCGCGAAAUCUAGAACGGAGAGCGAACAUGUGCGAGAAGUUAUUCUUAAGAUUGAGAAAGUUCCAGCUCAAGCUUAAUCCGGCGAAGUGCACUUUUGGGGCCAGGUCAGGAAAGUUGCUAGGCUUCAUAGUCAGUGAAAAGGGAAUCGAGAUUGAACCAGAUAAAGUCAAGGCAAUACGAGAUUUACCUCCACCUCGCACUCAGAAAGAAGUUCGAGGUUUCCUCGGAAGACUGAAUUACAUCGCUAGGUUCAUUUCACAACUAACUGAGAAAUGUGACCCUAUAUUUCGUCUUCUGAAGAAACAUAAUCCUGGUACUUGGGAUGAAGAAUGCGAAGAAGCUUUUAACAGGGUGAAGUAGUAUUUGUCUAACACUCAAUUGCUAUCACCACCUAGCCUGGAUAGGCUGCUGAUAUUGUAUCUGACAAUAUUUGAUAAUUCCAUGGGGUGUGUGCUGGGCCAACAUGAUGAAACGGGGAGAAAAAAAAGGGCGAUAUAUUAUCUCAGCAAGAAAUUUACUGACUGUGAAAUGAGAUAUUCGCCUAUUGAAAAGUUAUGUUGUGCCUUGAUUUGGACAACCCGAAGAUUAAGGCAGUACAUGUUAUACUAUACGACUUGGCUAAUCUCAAAGUUAGACCCGUUAAAGUAUAUGAUGGAGUCAACUGCUUUGAGUGGGAGGAUGGCCCGAUGGCAGAUCUUACUGUCUGAAUUCGAUAUUGUCUAUGUGAGCCAAAAGACUGUGAAAGGGAGUCAAUUGCUGACUUUCUAGCUAGUAGAGCUCUGGAUGACUACGAGCCGUUGAGUUUUGAUUUUCCAAAUGAAUAUUUGAUGUGUAUAGUGGCUAUGGAAGAAAAUUCACAAGAAGGUUACAGUUGGAGCCUCGAAUGCUGUGGGAAAUGGAAUUGGGGCAGUCCUAGUGUCCCCGAAUGGUGAUCAUUAUCUUUUCACUUGCAAACUGGAUUUUGAUUGUACAAACAACAUGGCAGAAUAUGAAGCAUGCAUCAUGGGUAUUCGUGCAGCUAUAGAGCGAGGAAUCAAAGUGCUAGAGGUCUAUGGAGAUUCAGCAUUGGUGAAAUAUCAGCUCAGGGGUGAAUAGGAAACGAGAGAUCCCAAAUUAAUCAGUUAUCGAAAGUUGGUCCUCGAAUUGAUUAAGGAGUUUGAGGACAUCACUUUUUGCUAUCUCCCACGAUAUGAGAACCAGAUGGCUGAUGCACUGGCUACUUUAGCCGCCAUGAUCAAGGUGAACAGACAUGGGAAUAUGAAGCCAAUCCAAAUGAGUAUCUAUGAAGACCCGGCUCAUUGUUACAAUAUUGAAGAAGGAGAAAUCGAUGAUAGUCCUUGGUAUCAAGAUAUACUACGGUAUGUAAAAAAUCGUGAGUAUCCUGGCCAGGCAACGGAGAAUGAAAAGAGAACUCUAAGAAGACUAGCCAUUGAUUACAUCUUAGAUGGGGAGAUCUUAUACAAGAGGGUAAAGGAUCAAGUUCUGCUAAGAUGUGUGGACGCCGUGGAAGCAAAGAAAAUCUUGGAGGAAGUCCAUGAGUGCAUCUGUGGAACGCAUGCUAGUGGUUUCACAAUGGCCAGACAGAUUAUGAGAUUCGGGUACUACUGGUCCACCAUGGAAGGGGAUUGCAUCAAUUAUUCUAAAAAGUGCCAUAAAUGUCAAAUCUAUGGUGAUAAAAUGCAUGCACCUCCUUCACCUCUUCAUGUCAUAACUUCUCCAUGGCCUUUCUCCAUGUGGGGUAUGGAUGUUAUCGGGCCAAUAUCGCCAAAGGCUUCAAAUGGACAUCGUUUCAUAUUUGUGGUUAUUGACUACUUCACCAAAUGGGUAGAAGCUGCUUUGUAUGCCAACGUUACAAAGUCAUCAGUUAGUAAGUUCUUGAAAAGAGAGAUCAUAUGUCGGUAUGAAAUGCCUGGAAGAAUUAUAUCCGACAAUACGUUGAAUUUGAACAACAGCUCAAUAGCAGAGGUCUGCAAUCAAUUCAAGAUCAGACAUCACAAUUCGUCGCCGUAUCGCCCGAAAAUGAAUGGUGCAGUAGAAGCGGCCAAUAAAAAUAUAAAGAAGAUUGUAGGGAAGAUGAUUGAGACUUACAGGGACUGGCACGGGAAAUUACCGUUUGCCCUCAUUGCUUAUUGAACGUCAAUCAAGACCUCCACCGGGGCAACGCUUUUCUCCUUAGUUUAUGGCAUGGAGGCAGUCUUGCCCAUCGAAGUUGAAAUCCCUUCUCUCCGGGUUUUGACUGAGCUACAAUUGGAUGAAGCAGAAUGAGUUCAAUCUCGAUACGAUCAGUUGAACUUGAUAGAGGGAAAAAGGCUAAAGGCUAUUCAGCAUGGUCAGAUGUACCAGAAAAGAAUGAUGCGAGCCUACAACAAGAAGGUCCGUUCCAGAGAAUUUUACGAGGGGGACCUGGUGUUGAGAAAAAUUCUUCCUCUACAAAAAGAUUUUAGGGGGAAAUGGAUGCCGAAUUGGGAAUGUCCUUAUGUUGUAAAAAAGACCUUUUUUGGAGGAGCCCUGAUCCUGGCUGAAAUGGAUGGAAGAAACUUGCCUAAUCUAGUAAAUUCAGAUUCGGUCAAGAGAUACUUUACCUGAAGAGGGGAAGGAACCAAAGUGAAAACCCGCAAAGGGCGCUUUGAUUUCAAAAACAAAAAAAAAAUUUGGAGAGGCUAAGGUGAAAACCCGCAAAGGGCACCUUAAGACCAAAGGGGAUUUGAGUUGAAAACCUAAAAAGGGCGGCUCAAAUUUUAAUUUUCACAUGGUAGUCUUGUUGUACCUAAAUCGACAGAAAGGAAUAGACGACAUCUUGGGGCAUCAAUAAAAUACUGUGAAUCUCCUAAACACGUGUUGAAUUCAGAAGGGUCCUCGAAAAGCUGUAUAGAGAAAUUCAAGCAGAGAUAUCUGGGGCACCUAUUCAUAGCAUUUGUGUUGAAUUCGUUGUUUUAAAAUAUUUCAUUCUUUUUCAAUAUAAAUGUCCCCAGACAAUUCCUCUAUCAUUGACAAUUCAUUGCGAGCUGUGCUCCCAAAUUCAUUUUGUUUUAUUCAUCGUUAUGAUCUUUUCGCAAGCAUGUUGCAUUAGAAUGACGAUUAAUGGACUAGUAAAACUUUCACAAGGGAAGUUUUUCAUAUUACUCUAGAAAUUUUUAAAUAGCUCAGGAACCUGAAACAUGACCAUUGUUUAGACCUUCAUCGGGUUGAAAGAUUGGAGAUAUCUAGGAGUCAAGAGUCAAGAUUAGAAUUUUCAAGUUUUGACGAAACGUUAUUGUCACAAAAAAAGCCUUAAUGAGCAAUAAUGACUUUAAACAUUCAAUAUUCAUUUUUUAUGACAUAACAUCCAAAUGUCAUUCAUACAUGCCUAGUUAGGAGCAUUUGAUUCAUUCUGAUCAUAACAUCCUAAUCAUUAGGCAUAAUUAGGCUCAUAAAGUGAAUCAUACAGGUCAUGUUUCACAGAGAGCAGAUUGGUGAAAUCAUAGAGCCUUAUCUCCCUGAGCAGUAGUGGAACAGAUUGAAGCUACGACGGUGGAUCUAGUUUCCCUGAUAUUGCAAUUAAAAAGAUUGAAGCCAUAACGGCGGAUCUUACUUCCUUAGCAGUGCAGUGGAACAGAUUGAAGCUACGACGGCGGAUCUGGUUUCCCUGAUAUUGCAAUUAAAAAGAUUGAAGCCGCAACGGUGGAUCUUACUUCCUUAGCAGUGCAGCGGAAUAGAUUAAGGCUACGACAGCAGAUCUAGUUUCCCUGAUAUUGCAAUUAAAAAGAUUGAAGCCACAACGGCGGAUCUUACUUCCUUAGCAGUGCACUGGAACAGAUUGAAGCUACGACGGUGGAUCUGGUUUCCCUGAUAUUGCAAUUAAAAAGUUUGAAGCCACAACGGCGGAUUUUACUUUCUUAGCAGUGCAGUGGAACAGAUUGAAGCUACAACGGCAGAUCUGGUUUCCCUGAUAUUGCAAUUAAAAAUAUUGAAGCCACAACGGCGGAUCUUACUUCCUUAGCAGUGCAGUAGAACAGAUUGAAGCUACGACGACGGAUCUGGUUUCCCUGAUAUUGCAAUUAAAAAGAUUGAAGCCACAACGGCAGAUCUUACUUUCCUGACGGUGCGGUAGAACAGAUUGAAGCUACGACGUCGGAUCUGGUUUCCCCGACAUUGCAGUUAAACAAAUUGAAAAUUUCAGCUCUUAUCUCCCUAAGUAGUAGUGGACCAGAUCGAAGAUGGCGGAUUUUACCUCCCUGAGGUUAUAGUGGAGUAUAUUGAAGCCAGUAAUUCUAUCUCCCCGGUCGACAGUGGAAUCGAUCGAAGAAAGCAGAUCUUGUCUUCAUGUAUUGGCGUGAAGUAGAUCGAAGAAAGCAGAUCUUGUCUUCCCUUACUGGUGGUGAAGUAGAUCGAAGAUACAAGUCUUAUCUCCCUGAAGUUACAGUGGAGCAGACAGAAGUAACCAAUCUUAUCUCCUUGAAGUUGCAAUGGAGUGGACUAAGACCGCAGAUCUCAUCUCUCUGAAGUUGCAGUAGAGCAGAUUGCGUCAAGAUUUAUCCUUAAAUUGUAGCAGAACAAGUUGAAGCUAUAGGACUUAUCUCCCUGAAGUUGCAGUGGAGUAGAUCAAAGAUAGCAAAUUUUGUUCUUUUGAGAAGCUACAACAUACGAAUCCUAUCUCCCUGACAUUACAAUGGAGUAGAUUGAAGCAUUAGUUCCUAUACCUCUGAAGAUGCAGUAGGAAGGAAUGAUGCUACUUGAAGAAAUGAAGCAUUGAAGAAGUUGAAGCUUAGUAAGACCGGGCACAAUUGGGCAUUUCAGUCUUUGCUCUGUUCUCGUUACACGACAACAAGCAAAGAGGGGCAGCUGUAAUAAGCCCAAUCUACCCGGGCCCGCAUGCAAAAAUAAAGACCCAAAUUUUUACAAACCCAAUACCAAAUAGCCUAAUAGACCCAACAUUUAACCCUAGCCCAAUAACUAAAUAGCCCAAUGCUUAAAUAAAAAACAGAAAACCCUACUAGCAGCAAGUAGCGUCGCAAGCCCCCGCCUUCAGCGCCUCCAGCAGCAUCCGGACGCUGCAAGUUUCGGCCUCCACGAAUGCCAAACUCUCCACGCACUUGCAAACACGGACUCAGAGAGUCCAUUAGCGAAAAUAUAGUGUAAAACAAAUAAGUUUUAGGCUAUAUAAAGCCGUUUGAUUUUGUAAAAAGAGAGACAAAGAAAUCAAAAGGAGAACUGAGAAUACAAGUUUUUUUAGGUGAAUCGCACCACUUUUUUUUUCUUUUGCAUUUUACGUUUUUUAUUGUUUUUGUAUAACUAAAAGUAGAAAAAAGAGAAAAGGGGGUUACCCUCGUUUUGAAUCUGCUCAAGGGCAGUUAAAAGCCCGUCGUGUCGCCUUUCCGAUCACCAUU